This 444-nucleotide ribosomal RNA is filed under the name uncultured bacterium. RNAcentral's name for it is "bacterial SSU rRNA". It matches the Rfam family "Bacterial small subunit ribosomal RNA", at positions 62 to 507 of the family's 1533-position model. The record is from RNAcentral.
UCUAGUGAAUUUUACAUUCACUAACUUCCAGCAACUAAGCUCUAAAGGACUAAAUUGUUAGUGGCGGACGGGUGAGUAACACGUUGGAACCUGCCCCAAAGUAAGGAAUAACUGCCCGAAAGGGUAGCUAAUACCUUAUAAUAUCCAAUUUAUUUGGAUUAAAGCUUUAUGUGCUUUGGGAGGGGCCUGCGUCUGAUUAGCUAGUUGGUGAGGUAAAAGCUCACCAAGGCGACGAUCAGUAGCUGGUUUGAGAGGACGACCAGCCACACUGGGACUGAGAUACGGCCCAGACUCCUACGGGAGGCAGCAGUAAGGAAUCUUCCACAAUGGGGCAACCCUGAUGGAGCAAUGCCGCGUGCAGGAUGAAGCGUUUCGGCGUGUAAACUGCUUUUAUCACCGAAGAUUAUGACGGUAGGUGAAGAAUAAGGACCGGCUAACUACGUG